AGACGUCUACAUUAGAUACCCCCGUAGUCCCAGCCGUAAACUAUGCGCGUUAGGUGUAUCGGUGACCACGAGUCACCGAGGUGCCGAAGGAAACCGUGAAACGUGCCGCCUGGGAAGUACGGUCGCAAGGCUGAAACUUAAAGGAAUUGGCGGGGAGCACCACAACGGGUGGAGCCUGCGGUUUAAUUGGACUCAACGCCGGGAAGCUCACCGGAUAAGACAGCGGAAUGAUUGCCGGGCUGAAGACUCUGCAUGACUAGCUG
This 263-nucleotide ribosomal RNA is filed under the name uncultured archaeon. Its description in RNAcentral is "partial 16S ribosomal RNA". It matches the Rfam family "Archaeal small subunit ribosomal RNA", at positions 714 to 982 of the family's 1478-position model. The record is from RNAcentral.